CCCUUAGAUGUUCUGGGCCGCACGCGCGCUACACUGACGAAUGCAACGAGCUUAUAACCUUGGCCGAAAGGUCUGGGUAAUCUCCAAAUUUCGUCGUGAUGGGGAUAGAUUAUUGCAAUUAUUAAUCUUCAACGAGGAAUGCCUAGUAAGCGCAAGUCAUCAGCUUGCGUUGAUUACGUCCCUGCCCUUUGUACACACCGCCCGUCGCUCCUACCGAUUGAAUGGUCCGGUGAAGCGUUCGGACCGUCGCCUUUGGACGGUUCGCCGUCUGUUGGCUGCGGGAAGUUCGUUAAACCUUAUCAUUUAGAGGAAGGAGAAGUCGUAACA
RNAcentral lists this ribosomal RNA (327 nucleotides) under uncultured eukaryote. RNAcentral describes it as "partial 18S ribosomal RNA". It matches the Rfam family "Eukaryotic small subunit ribosomal RNA", at positions 1470 to 1796 of the family's 1831-position model. The record is from RNAcentral.